CCUACGGGUGGCAGCAGUGAGGAAUAUUGGUCAAUGGCCGAGAGGCUGAACCAGCCAAGUCGCGUGAGGGAUGACGGCCCUACGGGUUGUAAACCUCUUUUGCCGGGGAGCAAAGAGCGUCACGUGUCACGCCUCGAGAGUACCCGGAGAAAAAGCAUCGGCUAACUCCGUGCCAGCAGCCGCGGUAAUACGGAGGAUGCGAGCGUUAUCCGGAUUUAUUGGGUUUAAAGGGUGCGCAGGCGGACGGUAAAGUCAGCGGUCAAAGCCCGGGGCUCAACCCCGUACCGCCGUUGAAACUGGCAGCCUUGAGUUGGAGAGAAGUAUGCGGAAUGCGCGGUGUAGCGGUGAAAUGCAUAGAUAUCGCGCAGAACUCCGAUUGCGAAGGCAGCAUGCCGGCGCCACACUGACGCUGAGGCACGAAAGCGUGGGUAUCGAACAGGAUUAGAUACCCUAGUAGUC
Molecule: ribosomal RNA, 459 nt
Filed under: uncultured bacterium
Lineage: Bacteria
Description: partial 16S ribosomal RNA
Rfam family: Bacterial small subunit ribosomal RNA
Source: RNAcentral